UUGACCUCAAAUCGGGUGAGACUACCCGCUGAACUUAAGCAUAUCAG
This 47-nucleotide ribosomal RNA is filed under the name Lactarius cf. gerardii A.Verbeken05-373. Its description in RNAcentral is "partial 28S ribosomal RNA". The record is from RNAcentral. Lineage: Eukaryota; Fungi; Basidiomycota; Agaricomycetes; Russulales; Russulaceae.